Molecule: non-coding RNA, 102 nt
Organism: Armillaria borealis
Lineage: Eukaryota; Fungi; Basidiomycota; Agaricomycetes; Agaricales; Physalacriaceae
Source: the annotation of a GenBank genome assembly
GACUCCAUAGCUAAGUGGUUAUAGCAUGAGAUUGCAGUGGCAGCAUGUCAGCCGGACUACGUAACAAUCUCGGGGUCGCGUGUUCGAGUCACGCUGGGGUCU